This 469-nucleotide ribosomal RNA is filed under the name uncultured bacterium. Its description in RNAcentral is "partial 16S ribosomal RNA". It matches the Rfam family "Bacterial small subunit ribosomal RNA", at positions 28 to 507 of the family's 1533-position model. The record is from RNAcentral.
GAUGAACGCUGGCGGCGUGCUUAACACAUGCAAGUCGAACGAUGAAGCUGGAGCUUGCUCUGGUGGAUUAGUGGCGAACGGGUGAGUAACACGUGAGCAACCUGCCCCUGACUCUGGGAUAACAGCCGGAAACGGCUGCUAAUACCGGAUAUGCACCAUGAACGCAUGUUCUGUGGUGGGAAAGAUUUUUCGGUUGGGGAUGGGCCCGCGGCCUAUCAGCUUGUUGGUGAGGUAAUGGCUCACCAAGGCGUCGACGGGUAGCCGGCCUGAGAGGGUGACCGGCCACACUGGGACUGAGACACGGCCCAGACUCCUACGGGAGGCAGCAGUGGGGAAUAUUGCACAAUGGGCGAAAGCCUGAUGCAGCAACGCCGCGUGAGGGAUGACGGCCUUCGGGUUGUAAACCUCUUUUAGCAGGGAAGAAGCGAGAGUGACGGUACCUGCAGAAAAAGCGCCGGCUAACUACGUG